GGAACACGUGACCUAUUAGCAACGUUCAACAUGUUGAGAAGGUGAAAACUUGAUGUUAGAAUGGAGAAGGCGUAACAGGUUAAGUUCCAGGCUUCCAGGCAACAUUUUGAAAAGAUUCUCCUUGUUCUCAGAGCUGCAAACAUCCAGGAGGAAAUCCCUGCUCAGUAUGCAGUAUUUUAUGAUAUGCGUAUCUUUGUUCUUCAUAACUUCAAAACUUUAAAUAAACGUUACUGGUUUAUUGUAUGU
Molecule: long non-coding RNA, 246 nt
Filed under: Vulpes vulpes (red fox)
Lineage: Eukaryota; Metazoa; Chordata; Mammalia; Carnivora; Canidae
Description: lncRNA (ENSVVUG00000013261.1)
Source: RNAcentral